This 484-nucleotide ribosomal RNA is filed under the name uncultured bacterium. RNAcentral describes it as "partial 16S ribosomal RNA". It matches the Rfam family "Bacterial small subunit ribosomal RNA", at positions 28 to 507 of the family's 1533-position model. The record is from RNAcentral.
AUUGAACGCUGGCGGCAUGCUUUACACAUGCAAGUCGAACGGCAGCGCGGGCUUCGGCCUGGCGGCGAGUGGCGAACGGGUGAGUAAUGCAUCGGAACGUGCCCAGUAGUGGGGGAUAGCCCGGCGAAAGCCGGAUUAAUACCGCAUACGACCUGAGGGUGAAAGCGGGGGACCGAAAGGCCUCGCGCUAUUGGAGCGGCCGAUGUCGGAUUAGCUAGUUGGUGGGGUAAAGGCUUACCAAGGCGACGAUCUGUAGCUGGUCUGAGAAGACGACCAGCCACACUGGGACUGAGACACGGCCCAGACUCCUACGGGAGGCGGCAGUGGGGAAUUUUGGACAAUGGGGGCAACCCUGAUCCAGCCAUGCCGCGUGCGGGAAGAAGGCCUUCGGGUUGUAAACCGCUUUUGUUCGGGAAGAAAUCCUCUGGGCUAAUACCCCGGGGGGAUGACGGUACCGGAAGAAUAAGCACCGGCUAACUACGUG